This 888-nucleotide ribosomal RNA is filed under the name Salmonella enterica subsp. enterica serovar Typhimurium. RNAcentral's name for it is "partial 23S ribosomal RNA". It matches the Rfam family "Bacterial large subunit ribosomal RNA", at positions 830 to 1632 of the family's 2925-position model. The record is from RNAcentral. Lineage: Bacteria; Pseudomonadati; Pseudomonadota; Gammaproteobacteria; Enterobacterales; Enterobacteriaceae.
CAAUCAAACCGGGAGAUAGCUGGUUCUCCCCGAAAGCUAUUUAGGUAGCGCCUCGUGAAUUCAUCUCCGGGGGUAGAGCACUGUUUCGGCUAGGGGGCCAUCCCGGCUUACCAACCCGAUGCAAACUGCGAAUACCGGAGAAUGUUAUCACGGGAGACACACGGCGGGUGCUAACGUCCGUCGUGAAGAGGGAAACAACCCAGACCGCCAGCUAAGGUCCCAAAGUCAUGGUUAAGUGGGAAACGAUGUGGGAAGGCCCAGACAGCCAGGAUGUUGGCUUAGAAGCAGCCAUCAUUUAAAGAAAGCGUAAUAGCUCACUGGUCGAGUCGGCCUGCGCGGAAGAUGUAACGGGGCUAAACCAUGCACCGAAGCUGCGGCAGCGAACGUAUCACCCAAGACAACUUUACGGAGUUGACGAUUGACGGAGCGAAGCGACGUCAAAGCGUUCAUUAAAGUCGAGUUGGCUUAGGGAUACGUUCGUUGGGUAGGGGAGCGUUCUGUAAGCCUGUGAAGGUGUGUCGUGAGGCAUGCUGGAGGUAUCAGAAGUGCGAAUGCUGACAUAAGUAACGAUAAAGCGGGUGAAAAGCCCGCUCGCCGGAAGACCAAGGGUUCCUGUCCAACGUUAAUCGGGGCAGGGUGAGUCGACCCCUAAGGCGAGGCCGAAAGGCGUAGUCGAUGGGAAACGGGUUAAUAUUCCCGUACUUGGUGUUACUGCGAAGGGGGGACGGAGAAGGCUAUGUUGGCCGGGCGACGGUUGUCCCGGUUUAAGCGUGUAGGUGUGUGUUCCAGGUAAAUCCGGUUCACUUUAACACUGAGGCGUGACGACGAGGCACUACGGUGCUGAAGCAACAAAUGCCCUGCUUCCAGGAAAAGCCUCUAAGCAUCAGG